Molecule: non-coding RNA, 72 nt
Organism: Phialocephala subalpina
Lineage: Eukaryota; Fungi; Ascomycota; Leotiomycetes; Helotiales; Mollisiaceae
Source: the annotation of a GenBank genome assembly
GCCUUGCUGGCGCAAUGGUAGCAUGCCGGCGACCGUUGCCGGAGGCUACGGGUUCGAGUCCCGUGCAUGGCG